UUUCAUUCACAGUGGAAACCGUUCCUAAAACAAUUUUAAUUCCUCUUGUUCUACAACUUUGCAAUUACCUGGUUUGCCAUCGCACAGUAACAUGUCUUAAGGAUUGAUCUACCUCCGACGCACAAGCCUCCUCCUCCCUACACAGAGAGACCAUCAGUCAUCCCUCUGGUUGUCCACACACCACAGGUGGCCUCCCUUUCACAGGCUCACAGGGCUGUGCGGCAGUUUGAGAUGGCAGAGAGAACUGCCAGGCUCACACCCCGGGAACCCCGAAGCCCCUCCCACCAGCCUCUGUCCUAUCAGGAGUGGGUGUGUCACCAGAACGGGGCGGAUCGUAUCUACAUCAACCACCGGGAACACUAUGUGUGACGGACACGUCCUAAACCUUCUAUGGACCUGUCAAUCAAUCACUCACCCUGCCCCACCCAUCGCCAUGCAGGCUCACAGAUGCCAGCCUUUUCAAUGUGAAGAACCCAGGCAAAGAAAUAGUUUAUGACUUGACCAAGCCUUCAUAGAUGAGUCUACUCCACAUUUAACAUAAUUUGAGAGCAGCAGUUAUCACCUGUAAGAAGCAAGACUAAUGAGGCCGGAGCAUAAACUGCUGAGUUUCUCUGAGGAACGACAACCCAAACACCCCUCCACUCCCCUUCUCCGAACCACCGCACACACACCUGUUCUGUUCCCAACCACAUCAAUGAACAGAGGAUAACAGCAUAGGGAAGAGCAGGAAGACCGAUUUGGUACAGUACCACAAAGUAACUAUUUAAAAUGGAACACUAAGCUCUGCUGUGUGCUGUAUAGGAGUGGAAUCAUAUGAAAACACCAUACUAAGCUCUAUGUAUAGCAGUUGAAUGUGUUACUAUGUCACUGUGGCUGUGUGAUAAUCCUGUGUACAGUUAUGCUCUUUGAAUUAGUUAGAACUAAUACAUUUUUG
Oncorhynchus tshawytscha (Chinook salmon) is the source of this 934-nucleotide long non-coding RNA. NCBI's taxonomy places the organism in Eukaryota, Metazoa, Chordata, Actinopteri, Salmoniformes, Salmonidae. The record is from Ensembl.